GGCUGCAUAGCUAUCAUUCCUCCUUGCCGCAAUCUUGGGUGGAGCCGGACUGGAGGUGGAGCUUGCAGUUCUUGCCGUUCCUGGGCGCGCAGUCGCAGAUGCAGCCCUCCAGCUUCUGGUAAGGGUAGUUGUCGCAGGUGAUGUACCCGCCCUGGAUGCACCGGACCAGCGAGCAGUCCACCCUGCUCUUCCUGGCCGCAGCAACCUGCUCGCCGAACACGACGAGCCCUGAAGAAGAAGAAGAAUCGAUUGAGAUUCACACGAGUCAGAACUCAGAACACCACUUCGUUAUGGUUAUGGACGAUCACUUUGCAGGACUGGGGGUCGAUCGAUGCGAGCGUGCGUGCGUACCGGAGAGGAGGAGGACGAAGGCGAGCGAGAGCUUCAUGGAGACAGCUGCAGCCAUGUCGAUCGGUUCGGUUGGCAGGAGCACGGUGCACGGCCCGGGCGUGUACGCGAGUGCAUAUAUAUACGAAAAGGAGAUGCAGAUCACGAGCUGCCACUCAUCAUCGUCGUCGUCGUCGGCCGCCGUGCUGUGGCUUCGGCGAAACUGUCCGGAUACGCCGCUUCCUCUGACCCGCCGUACGCGCCGCACCGGCCCACGAGGGUCUGACGCGAGCUCGCGCGUCGGGAUAGGCGAAGCCAGCGGUGGCCGUGUGCCAUUUCCUGCCUGACUAGUGAUUGGCGCGCGCGCGUAGAAUUGCACGAUUUUGUACCAUGUCUUAUACAAAAUAGUAAAAGUGGAUACGAUUUUAUACCAUAUUUUAUACAAAUAGAAAAAUGAAUACGAGACAACAAGAACAUCUUACUGUUACUAAUUGGAGGCUGCUUUUGAAGCCUCCAGGUGAAGCCACCUAGGAUUCCUAGGUGGACACUCUAGAAAAAGAGAGAAAUCCUAGAAAUUCUCAAAAAAACCAAAACAUCCGACCAUUGAUCUAUAGAUUCAAAUCAUCAUAGCCAUUAAAUCUAUUAUGUUUUCUAAAAAAUUACCCACCUAUGCCAUUAUGAAAAUAACCUAAAGUAACCCCCUAAAUCUAUAUAUAAAUUACCUACCUCUGCCAUUAUAUAAAAUAAACUAAAAUAACCCCCUAAUCUUCAUCAAAAUUACUCACUUAUGUCAUUAUAAACAAUAUUUAAAAUAACCUCCUAAUUUGCAACCAAAUUGCCCACCGCUAUUAAACUUAAAGUAACCUGUUAAAUUUGCAUCUAUAUUACCCACACAUGCCAUCAUUAAAAAUAACAUGAUAACCCUACGUUUGAAUCAAAUAACCUUAAUUAAAAUAUACAACAAUAUAUGAUUCUAAAUCGUCUAUAUCUUGCACUAUUGGUAUAUGAUAUAAUAAUUAAGGUCUAUACACAUGAUGUGUCACCAUUUAUAAAGAUAUAGAGGAAGUGAUGAGAAUAUAGAUUUCUAUGUUAAAAUUGUAUCACAAACUUAGGGUUCAUUAAACAAAUUCAAACGCAUACCUGCGAUGCAAAGUGAAAAGUUAAAGAUUAUAAAUGUGGAUGAAAAUAUUAUAGAGUAAUUACUAACUAAAAUCUAUGACAAUUAGAUGAAGAUAAUAAGUAUAUAUCUAUUGUGUUUGAAUAUUUAACAAACGAGAGGUAGCUUAUGGUAAUAUUUUUGAGCAAUGUAGUCCCAUUUUUUUCAUUGGAGACUCCACAUUAGUUCCCAUGAGACAAGCUAGAAAAAAAAGAGACAAAUUCUCAUAAAAAUCAAAAAUAUCAAACACCAAUCCUAUAAACUCUAAUAAUCAUAGCCAUUAAUCUAUUAUAUUUUCUAAAAAGUUACCCACCACUAUCAUUGUGAAAAUAUUCAAAAAUGAGCUCUAAACAAAUUACCGAGCUCAGCUAUUAUAAAAAAUAAUCUAAAGUAAUCCCAUAAUCUUCAUCGAAUUUACUAAUACAUAUCAUUAUAAAGUAUAACUUAAAAAGUCAUUCUAAAAUUUUAUCUAUAUUACCCACGUAAGUUGUUAUUAAAAAUAACCUAAAAUAAACAUCUAAAUCUUAAUCUAAUUAUCUUCAUGUGCAUCAUGGAUAAAUGUCAAAAAUAAACUAAUAUAUGAUUCUAAAUUACCUAUUUAUGUCAUUAUUAAUAUAAAAAUACUAAGUUAAAGUAUAUACACAUGAUGAGUGUCACCAUUUAGACCAUUUAUGCAUGUACGUCAGGAAUCGAUGAAAAAUAUUGAUUUGUAUGCUAAACAUAAUGUAUGGAGGAUUGGAGGUGCGAUACAAAAUGGAAAAAGUAUGAAUAUGGAUGAAAAAGUGCAUAGAGUAAUUAUUAAUUAAAAAUCAAUCACAAUUGGACAAAGAUAGGUACAUAUCUAUAUAAGUAUUAUGUUGACGUAUUGAAAAAAAUAAGAGAGUAGUAGGUAAUCAAUUUUGAUUAUUAGCUAGGAGUUUAAUUUCUAAAUAAUUUUCAAAUACAAUAGCUUCUAAAAAUAUUAGCCCGUGCGGGAGCACGGGUUGAUGGACUAGUAUAAUUUAAUAUUGCAACAACAUUUUGGCAAACUAUAUCCCGAGAAUAUGGUGGCAUAGCCACGAAAAAGUAUUGUGCCAUUGUCACAAAAAGAAUUUAAGCUUCAAUUGAACAAAACAAAUUCACAAGAGUCAAUUUCACUUGGCAUACAAACCAAGUACAUUUUUUUACGUACUAAGUAGACGAAGAAGUCAGCACUUGCAAGUUUGAGACUGUUGAGAUAAUAGCGUAAAUUUAUAAAAACUGACACGUACGAUAAUUAUCCAACAGAGGGAUAAUUAUAAACUCAAGCUAACCUAUCAGGCUCGGUUGAGUAGCAAUCAGAGGACGAAUAAGAGACAAUAAUCUGCACUGUUUUACCAAACCUAAUAUUUUCAGAACAGAGGACGGACAAGAGGCAACAGCCUUUCUCUGCUUUACAAAACCUAAAAUUUUCAGAACAAGAAUUCAGAAAUCAUAUAAUAAAUAGUAAUAUUUAAUUGUUUGCAACGCAAUGAAAGAUGAGGGGAAAAGCUGAUACCUAAUUUUUGACAUGGGAUGAGAAGUACAAAGAUACAUCUAAUUGGCCACGCUCUGGUUGGCGUUGCUAUGUCGCAGUAGUUCAUAUUGAAGAAAAAACUGUAGUCAACCUGCGGCGAAGUAGAAAAGAAUGAGUCUGCUUUCUGCAAUCACUUUGCAUGAGAAAAUAGUAAUGGUACUAAUCAACUAAAGGUAUAAUGUUUAACACACUGAUCAAUACUACAAAUUGGUUGAAGUCUAGCCGCCUCCCUCCCCCGUGACGCACCGGCUCUCCACGCCUCUCCUUUGUCGCCUCCGUGGCUUCGUACCUUCGGCCACGCAUCCCCCAUGCCUCACCUGGCCGCCUGUGCCACCCGUAACCACGCCGUUCUUUUGGUGUUGUCAGGCUUGGCGUCAGCAUGCGGUGCAUUCUGAAGUUCCGGUCAGCGGGAGCGGAUCUAAGCCCUUGUUUACUUCACCCCCCAACUCCCAAUUUUGGCACUAUGCAAAAAGAAGAUUAUCAUCACAUCAAACUUACGGUACAUGCAUGGAGUACUAAAUGUAGAUGGAAUUAAAAACUAAUUGCACAGUUUUGUUGUACUUUGCGAGACAAAUCUUUUGAGCCUAAUUAGUUAAUGUUUGGACAAUAAUUCACAAAUACAAACGAAAUGCUACAGUGUGCUACAGUGCCAGCACAGUAAUUUGGUACCUCCCAAUUUAGCCAACUAAACAAGGCCUAACAGAGAUCGGAUAGCUUUUAACAUAAGCCACUGCUUCGCUGCAAAUCAGUAUAGAACAGCUAGACCACACUUGGAUUGGUCAAGUCCUCGAGUUCACACCGAAUCUAGUGAAACAUAGUAUGGAGUAUUAGUAACGGUCUGGCCAGUGGCCUGGAUUACAAAUCUGAGACUGAACCCCGAUCGCGCGCCGAUCAAACUUCUGCAGACCAAAACUUUAUAUCACGCGUGACAUCAUUCACAUCCCAGGACUGAGAUCUUGCGUCGAUGCAACUAAAAAAAACUAAGAGGUACAGAAGAAAAAAAGAGAAACUACGACAAAGCCAGCUCAAGGAACGGAAAUAGUCAAGCGAGGCAUAGCAUACUGCUACUUCAUUAUUCAGCAACAUUAUUCCAUCACCGUUCCUACCAGACACCCCCAAAAAUCCACAGGAUAUGGGCUGCUCUCCUGGCCGUCCAGGGCGUAUAGCUACGCCCCAUGCGCCGGGCAGUCGAAGGUGUCGCCGCUGCUCAGGAGGUGGAGCUUGCAGUUCUUGCCGUUCUUGGGCGCGCACUGGCAGUCGCAGAUGUCCAGCUCCUGGGAGGGGUAGUUGUCGCAGGUGAUGUACCCGCCCUGGAAGCACUGCACCCCGCACGCCGCCCCCGUCUUCUUCCCAUCGGCCUCGCCGAACACGACGAGCCCUGCAGAGUGCACAAGCAUAUGAUGCAUUAGAUGGGCAACACGGUUACAAAUCAUGCACAGGAUCGGAGAUGCCGGCCGGCGGCGUACCGGAAAGGAGGAGGAUGAAAGCAAAGGAGAGCUUCAUGGAGGCCAUCUUCUUCAGUUGGCUUAGCUCGCGGUGUGUGCUGCCACAGCACCCUGACAGAGAUCGACGGCUCUGUACAGUGGAAGCUGGAAGCUACAGUAGCACAAUGCGAUCGCAACGCGGCCGGGGACUUCAUUAAAGUAGCAUAUCCUGCCAUUGUUUCCGCUGCAGACACAUGGAUCAUUCAGAGUUUUCAGGCUGGUCAAGUCGUGGAUUCCACACUAGAUAUCGAGAGAAUCAGAGAAAGGUAUGCUGUUAGAGGCGUUGACUUCUUUGCAUGCACGAUUGGUUUGUAAUGAUGCUGUUUUUUUAAUGAGAAGUUUUGGAAUGAUGUUUUACCGUCUUCUCUUAUCAGCUUAACCUUUUAUAGGUAAAUUAACAUGAAAGCUAAGAUGAAACGUGAACCAAUGCCCCGAGCACAUUUGACUAUUAUUUGUAGUAGAUCACGAGAAGACAACAACCUCUUCGUGCCUCAUUGCUUGUCCAACAAGAUGAAGGAAUUCAAAUUAAUACGACCGUGGUAUAAGAAUUCAAUGCAAUGGCUGAAAAUACAUGUUUAAUCAGAAGCUCUUGCUUGAUUAGAGCCUUAUCCAUUGAGCCAUGAUACAUAAAAAGCUUAAUGCAUGUCGUCUAAUUCAAUUUUACAAAUUCUUGCUUGAUUUGGUUGUUGGCUACCAAAAAUUUCUAAAAGCCAAAAGGGAGGCGAAGUGGGCGGCAUCCUAGCCAUGUACUUACAAAUUUGCUUCGAAUCCAAUCCAAUAUAGUUGUUUGUUUAUUCAUUCCAUGGUGAUAAAUAGAGAUGGAAAUUUAUUAGAUGGGGUGGGAGGUGUGGGGCUUGCCCCCUGCAUUUAGUGUUAGAGAAUGCUGAUUUUAGGAAAAGCUCUGGAUUUGUAUCUUUUCGUUCUAGCUUUUCUUUCAUGAAUGGAGUGAUUUUUAGGGUUUAUUUCUUAAAAUUUUCAUUCUUCUAAUCCAACUCUAGUUCGAUAUUUAGGCUGCAUUGGGGUGUGAUCAGGACCUAGGUCAUGCAGAGAAUUUUAAAGUAUCGUAUUCACGUUCGAGAAAAAAAUCGGCACUUUAUCCCAAGUUCAGAUCGAAAUUUGCAUCAUUUCAAGGGGAAAAAAUUGUUAGAUCUUAUCCAACAAGAUCGAACGGAAUUUUGGACAUUCGAGUUUAUCUUCAGCAAAAUGUAAACUGUUGUAAAAGAAAUCGAAGGAGUAACUAGCAGAUCAAUUAUUACAUCGCAGAACACAAUUUAUCAUAGGUGAAUGCACAAAACCGGGGGAAAUGCAUAUAUAAGGAAAUAUGAACCCGCUUAUUAUCAGCAGGCCAACCAAACUGGUGCUUGAGUUCACACUGAAUGAAUUUUGGUGAACAACGUGUCACUGUUUUGGCUCAUUGGAGCAAAUGCAGGGUUCAGAAAUGCGGCAAAGUUUCGUCGAUAUUUACCAAAAGUGCCUGCAAAAUAAGGUCCCGAAGCUUUGCCAAAGGGACCGAGCAAAAAUAGCUCCGCCGAAGAAGCUCCGGAUUUCCCGCUGUCUGGUGCCGAUGGACGAAGCCGGAGCCUAAAAAUGCGGCUCCCUGCGGCUCCACCCCAUCUGCGAGGAUAAAGUUCCAAGCUUGACCAUGUCGUAGGGAGGCGGGGGUGGAGAGGAGAGGCGGCCGGCGGUGGCGGGGUGGAGCUGGAGGGCGACGGGGCAUGGGUGACGGCGGCGGCAUGGGCCUGGAGGGCGACGGUGGCAGGAGCAGAGGCGGAGCUGGAGGGCGAUGGGCCACAGGUGAAUGGAUAAGAAAGAGAGAGGAAGGGAAGGGAAGGGGAAAGAAUAGGAAGAGAAGAGGAAAGGAGAAAGGGAAAAAGAAAAAAAAAGAAGAGGAAAGGAGAAAGGGAAAAAGAAAAAAAAAGAAAAGGAAGAGAAGGGGAAAUAAAGAGAAGAGAAAAAAUUGGAAGAAAAGAGAAAAUUUAAAAAUAAAAAUAAAAAGAAUAAGAGCAUUAUAGAUAUUUCAUCGUUUUUAUACUUGUUACACAACUACGAGAAGCUGUUUUGCCAAAUAUUUUUCCAUCCAGACAAGCCGAAGCUAAAGAAAAGCUACUUCAUCGAAGAAGCCACAGCCGCAGCCGUUUCAGCCACAACCGCAGUCCUGCCAAAUGAGCCCUGAAUAAUUCCGCUAUAAAAAAUAUUUCAAUCAUGGUAAUUAUUUAUAUAUAUAUAUAUUAUUAUUUUAGAAGUCAGUUAACCAGCCAUCAACUUGUAGUUCAGUGAAAUCGACCAAAACAAGCACGAGCAUCUGGAGAGCGUGGCAUCACAAAUUCACAACUGACCCUGAAGAGAAGCAGACGAUACAUUUUCCAACGACAUCAAGCCAUACAUACACACUGAUCAGUUACCGAGCAGGUAAUGAUCCAUUAUCCAGCAACAUUAUUAUUUGAUCGGUUGAACUAAUAACUCACGAUCUCACAAAGACAUUACACCAACGGCCACAACGGGCAUGAAACUGCAUGCCUUAUUUUAUCGGAUCACCCCUUCACUCAGAGGCCUAGUGCUUUGGGCAGUCGAACGUCCCACCGGUGCUGAGGAAGUGGAGCCUGCAGUUCUUGCCGUCCUUGGGCGCGCACUGGCAGUCGCACCCGCCCAGCUGCUUCGACGGGUAGUUGCCGCAGGUGAUGUAGGAGCCCUGGAUGCACCGAACCGGGCACGCCGCCUCCGCGCUGCCCAUCUCGCUCAGCACCAAGAGCCCUGCAGCGUAUUGAUCGAUUAGCCGAGCAAGAACCAAGAACCUUAUGGUUGCUCGAUUCCGUGCUUGAUUUGCAGCUAGCCAGCUUACCGGAGAGGAGGAGGAUGAAGGCGAAGGAGACCUUCAUGGAGGCCAUGGCCGCAUCCGGUUGGAGCUCUUCUCUGCUCGAGCUCGCGACGCCUGGCGGCCAUGGAAGCUUGAUCCGGGCCUGUGCCUGCUUUUGCGAACUGGAGAGUAGGAAACUGGCCCCAUACGACUGGGAAAUCACACUGUUUUCAGAACUUGAUCAGGGCUGAACCUGGGAAAUUGUGCUCAUCGUGAGCUCAGGAGGCAGAUCUCGAGUGUGUCUGUCUGUCUGCUUAAUUUCCUUGUUUUGCUGUCUGUUUCAUGCUGAAGAGAAGAGAAGUUCGUGUAGAAAAACAUAACAAUGUUGCCUUGAUGUCAGAUACAUCUUGUGCUUCUCAUCAGCAGGCAGGGGAAGGUGGCUGACAAAAUGGUACACUCCAUAUACACAGAAGCAGAGAUCCAAGGUAUGAGUAUAUCAGCAGGUUUCCACUGUAGUUUACCAUUGUUUUGGCUGGAGCCUAUCUUGCAUGAAUCCCAUGGUGUUCAAAGGACUCAACCACAUGUAUUUUCUUUUUAUUCAAAAGGCAAUCAAAGAAAUAAGUACGCUCGUACUGACAAUAGGCCCCAAGCUGUGCAAUUUUGUUUACCGGCAAGGUUACAGAGUUGUAUACAAGAGGCCGGUGAGGAGUCAUUCUGAAUGAUAUUUAUCAAACUUCAUUCCUGAUUAUCAGUUACCAGUUUGAAGCGCUUGCACAGUGGGUAUCCAUGCAAAAUUGCUGCCGGCGGACGGUCAGAUCAUAUCUCUGAAGGAUCUGCCACUAUGUUACUGCCUGGUUUGCUGGCCUAGCUAGGUGAAGAACGUGAUCGAUCAAACGCCCAAUCACACGCAUGCAUGAUGAUGCACCUGAAUCAAGAGCGCAUCAAGAUUUCCAGACAUCACGAUGCUUGUUCAGCCACGGUAACUGGUGACUGGCCUUGCUUUCUGAUGGUUUAACAGCAUUGUUUAUAAACGUAUGCAGAUCCGGGGAACGUAGCGAGUCUUCCCGUGCCUCACAUAGGGAUGGAAUUCAACGCAAUGCGAGCUAGUAACAAACUACUCCCCAUCAAGCUGAGGUGAAAAAAAGAUGCAGAGAAUACCAGGUUGCUACAGCUCCAUUUCAAGACUAGGUGAAAGGCAUGAGAACGGUUGCCACGCAAAGCAAAAUCUAGCAACCUGGAGACUACUCACUACUGUAUGCAACCGCAAAAAGGCUAGCGUGUUGGGUGAGGGUUGCCCCCCACCUGUAUGUUAUGCUAACCAUCAUCAAUUUUUGAUACGGAACUAAUCCUAACAAUGACACCACUACAGCGUCAGACUCGGAGGAGAUAAGCGCAUGGCUGUCAUGGAGUACUUCACUAUCAUCAAUUUUUUUACCAAACAUACUUCACCAACAACAAGCGACAAUAUUAUUCAGAUGAUCACGAUGCCUUGUACAAACCAGCGAAACCACGAGCAGCAAGGGUGAGCUUGUAUCACCCCUGCGAGGCUCCAGCCAAAGCCUACGCCUGCGCUGGGCAUUUGAACGUGUCGCCGGUGACCAGGUGGUGGAGCACGCAGUUGAUUCCGUCCUUGGGCGCGCACUCGCAGUCGCAGCCGUCCAGCUUCUGGUAGGGGUAGUUGUCGCAGGUGAUGUACCCGCCCUGGAUGCACACCACCGGGCACGGCUCCGCCGCCGCCGCCACCCCUCCGAUCUCGCCGAACACGACAAGCCCUGCCAGAAAUGAAGCUCAAUCAAGAAUGAUGCAUUAUCCCAAGAGCAACGAGCCAUGAAUUUGUAAGGGAUGCAAAGAAAGAAAAAUCUCGGAAACUCGGACGGAUCCAUGCCUGAUAGAUUAGGUUGGCUAACAAAUGUGACAUGAG
This 9216-nucleotide long non-coding RNA is filed under the name Setaria italica (foxtail millet). RNAcentral's name for it is "long non-coding RNA (SITA_LNC006497)". Lineage: Eukaryota; Viridiplantae; Streptophyta; Magnoliopsida; Poales; Poaceae. The record is from RNAcentral.